GCCUAUGAUUUUUACAAUUUAUAUUCGUGGGAGAAAGGAUUCGGCAUUAGAUACGAAAAGAGCAGGGUAAACGUAAACUGGACAAAUGCAUGAAAGAGAUAGUCUAUGGUUGCGCGGUAUGCCAUUGUGUUUGCAAUGUUCUAUAAUUUUCUAGUUCACCAUGUGGAAGUUGUGAUGAAGUUAACUGAAUUUGACUUAUCAAAAUUUUAACAGGGGAAGCAAAUAGUUGAAAAUACUCGGUCUUGCCGCUGUUAAUGCCCUACUCUCAUAAGAUUGUUGCGGUUAAAGGACAACGGGAGCAUCGAUAUGAGCACAUACAUUCAUUGUCUCCCACGUACGGACAGACAAUACACUGGCCAUCACACAAGCAUAUCGACGUGUACAUCAGAGGUCUCGUGAAGCAGCUGUGGCAAAACAAUGACAACUUAGCGAGAAUGGGGAUGUUGUGAACCAGGUUCACCCAGAAGGCGCUGAGAUGGGACAGGGAGGCAGAAUGCCUACUGUUAUGAGGAAAUGAGGACCGAUGAUAACACUUCAGCCAAUCAGUCGGGUGAUAUGCUGACAGGCUUAUUGCCUCCAGCUAAGAGGAAGGAUGUGGGAAAGCCUACGACAAGCAGAGAGAAAGCACUGUAUGAUGGACUGAGUAAGAUGACAAGAUUAUGCAUGAUUUUCAGUGACAAGCACACAAACGGAUACCCUGCCCUGAUCGUGGGGAUGUACAAAAACAGCCUUGGAAGCCAGGAAGAUGCAAGAAUUGUGGCGUUGAAGGCCAUCGUCGAUACAACUACCACAAAGUGGCUGAGCUCAGGCUGAAGAGCUGAUCUGAUCUUGUUUUGUUUAGCUGCAGCACUCUGCUUGCCAAAUUUUAAGCUGCCUUGUACCUGAGUACUAAGUUGUGUUCUUUCUGAAUAAUUAGAACUUGUCUGUACAAAGUCUGCAUUGUAAAAUGGCUGUGCUUUGUGUUCCUUACUGAUAUUAUAUUAUUAUUUGAUCUUCCUGUGUUGCUGAUAUUAUUUGAUCGUGGUUCCUUACUGAACUGUUUGGCACAUAGUAUGUGUUGUUU
This 1063-nucleotide long non-coding RNA is filed under the name Triticum aestivum (bread wheat). RNAcentral describes it as "long non-coding RNA (TAES_LNC021248)". Lineage: Eukaryota; Viridiplantae; Streptophyta; Magnoliopsida; Poales; Poaceae. The record is from RNAcentral.